RNAcentral lists this ribosomal RNA (406 nucleotides) under uncultured prokaryote. RNAcentral describes it as "partial 16S ribosomal RNA". The record is from RNAcentral.
CCCUAUGGGGCGCAGCCUUUGCCAACCAACCGCGUGGCAGGCACCUCAUCACCAGUGCUGUCGAACACCCGGCUGUGCUGGAGGUUUGUCAUUAUCUGGAGAGCCAGGGCUUCUUAGUAUCCUACCUACCGGUGGACAGAUUUGGUAUGGUCAGUCCGAAUGACCUGGCUAAUGCUCUGACGCCCCAAACCAUCCUGGUGAGCAUCAUGCAUGCUAAUAACGAGGUAGGUACGAUCCAACCAAUUGCCAGGCUGGCAGAACGGGCACAUGAAAAAGGGGCGCUAUUUCACACAGACGCCGCCCAGUCUGUAGGCAAGAUCAAGGUGGACGUGCGAGAAUUGGGGGCUGAUCUGCUCUCGAUCGCAGGGCACAAACUGUAUGCACCCAAAGGAAUUGGCGGGGGAGC